GGGGGUGACAGGCUUCGACGUGGGAGGCUGGUCACAGACUGCAAGCCGAGGCGCUCUACCCUCGUUAAUCCAGAGCAAACCAACAAGUGCCAACCAAAGCACUCCUCGUCUCGCUAUGGCUGCGUAAGUAGCCUAGCAGACACCCGAUACCCUGCGGGGUAUCCGUCUGCCCCAACCGUCUCCUGUCCGGGUGGCAAGCAGGCGUCACAAACGACAGGGUGCCCUGCGCCGACGCCGGUACCGCGCAGCUAAGACUCACCGGCUAGUGCGUGGCUUGGCCCCCGCCGGCUUGGGUUGCCCCGCGCGAAACCAAAAAGCUGGCUACGCUUGUAGACGUUUGUGCUCGAAUCUUGCGGACGGGGGUUCGAUUCCCCCCACCUCCACCU
Molecule: transfer-messenger RNA, 386 nt
Filed under: Anaerolineae bacterium
Lineage: Bacteria; Bacillati; Chloroflexota; Anaerolineae
Rfam family: transfer-messenger RNA
About the family: Bacterial tmRNA, also known as 10Sa RNA or SsrA, is named for its dual tRNA and mRNA-like properties. Its role is to liberate the mRNA from a stalled ribosome.
Source: RNAcentral